GAAAAGCCUCUUGAAUUUAUCAUUGCUGGAAAUAAGAUGAUUAUUAUUCUAGGCAGACACAUUCCAGGGUUAUAUGCUGGAGCUGUGGUGAUGAAAUUUUCCAACACAAUAGAAAAAGACAUAGGAGCAGUACGGUAAUCAAAUACUGGCUGGAGUCUCCAAAAACUCGGUUUACCAGCAAAGAGAAAUCUAAAAAUGUUCAAACACCGGAUCCUGGAGGAGAAUCUGAAUGCUACAAAAAUUGAGAUUGAAUUGAGGUGCAGUAACAUAAACCAGUAUGUAGCUCAAAAAAUUGCUACUUUAAACAGGAAGAGAUUAAAGUAUUCUGGAGCACCACAAUGAGGACCUUUCUUAAUAGAUAAAUGACAUGCAUAUGAGUUAU
Molecule: long non-coding RNA, 382 nt
Organism: Nilaparvata lugens (brown planthopper)
Lineage: Eukaryota; Metazoa; Arthropoda; Insecta; Hemiptera; Delphacidae
Exons: 3
Source: RefSeq, a predicted model, not a curated record